Arvicola amphibius (Eurasian water vole) is the source of this 1972-nucleotide long non-coding RNA. RefSeq lists it as uncharacterized. NCBI's taxonomy places the organism in Eukaryota, Metazoa, Chordata, Mammalia, Rodentia, Cricetidae. The record is from RefSeq and is a predicted model, not a curated record. The transcript is spliced from 4 exons.
GGCAGCUCUGACCCUGGUCCCUCUGCUCAUUUGGACAGUCUCACCAUGCACGUGGAGGAGGAGAAGCAGGAGCCCACAGGCCACAGCAAACAGCCAGCCAGGAAGUCUACCGAGUGGCAUAUUGAAUGCCAGGCCUAAGUCUGUGUUGCUACAAGAUGACAGUCUCACAACAGCAGGAAGCAGAGAAGUCUCUUCACAGUGGAAAGCAUGUGCACCUGUUCCUUAGCCAAUGGCACCUGGACAGAGGAUGGUCACAGUGACCGUGAAGAAUGGCCUUAGCCUCUGCUCCUCACUGAAGUACCUGCAGCUAAGACCCUACAGGUGCCAAGCUCUGACCCAGGAGCCUGGCAUCGUUGUUCCUCUGUAAUCCUUAGCACAUUCCUCUGAAAACUGCAUGGGAGGUGCCCUCGGGACAGACAGAACACUGCUAUAGAGCUGAGACGGAGGAAGCACAGCAGUGUGGCCUGGAGCUCAUGUCUGAGGGUCCCUGGGCCCCAGAACUUACAUGGCUGGAUGGGAGGUUGCAUCUCUCACACCACUCCAUGGUUCCGGGGGCUCUGGAGGAGCAAAGCGCAGUGGUCCCACAGGUGGCUUGGCAAAGGGGAUCCCUAGGAAGGUGUGGACACCGACAUCGCUGUCUUUCACAUGGACAAGGCUUCCUCUCACCUGCCCUGUGUGUGUGUUCCUGAUGGGGCUGGCUGAGUCCUUGCCUGUAGGUGGAGAGAAGCCAUCAUUUGUGAUACUUGGGAAUUCCUGCCUCAUCAUCACUGUGGUACAUGGUGAAGGUAACCUGGGUUCUCUCAUUUCAGCUGUGGCAUGUGGAGAUGAGGCUUUCUGUAUUUCCUAGGGCCAGAAACCUUGUCCUUUGGCCCUCUUAAAAAUUGUCAGCAAAGUGUCAUGUUCAGAGCUACUUGGGAUUAUGAAGGAACUAUUGCCAUUAUCCAAGGUCACUAGGAGCUCCACUCAUAACCACACAUGGAGGAGGGACAUGUCCCUUCUGCUCUUCUGUCCCUUCUGGGUCCCCAUCUUAGACAUCUGAUCCUCCAUGUGCCACAUGGCCCACUCUGUGGGCUUUGGUGUGGGCAUUAGAGGGCACACAAAUCCACACUUUCAUCUGUCGUCUCCACCAGCUCCUCCCUCCCUGAUGUUUCCCUCCCACGAGCUCAGCCUCGGCAGAACUGGGCAGCUCUGACCCUGGUCCACUCUGAUCAUUAGACAGUCUCACCAUGCACGUGGAGGAGGAGAAGCAGGAGUUCACAGGCCACAGCAAACAGCCAGCUAGGAAGCCUAUCGAGCGGCAUGAUUGAAUCCCAGGCAGAAGUCUGUGCUGCUACAACAUUGAGUCUCACAACAACAGGAAUCAGAAUAGCAUUGCCUGUGCAGCGCUGACAUGAGAGCUACUAAGAGAAGCACAGCUGAGACUGCACACAAAGUCCUGGCCUGCUGUGCUGGGGAUCAGGAAAUGAGGAGAUGACAGAAAGUCACCUAAGGACCUAAAAAACCUACAUGCUCUCAGUGUGGACAUUGGGUGAAGCUCCACCUCCCUGGCACCUCCCCCUACCAGCACCACGUUCAACACUGCAGAGUCUGGCAGACCUGAUAAGUUGCAUCAAGAAAAGUUAAAAUCCCCAAAUCAGCCAAUCUUCUGCCGCAGCCCUCCCCAUCUGACCCGCAGGAAUCAGCAUCUCUGGUGCCACCUUUGUGGAUGAGGCCAGGGCAGCAGCCACUCACAGCCACCAAAGAGUGACUUCCAACAUCUUUCUCAGUCAAGUGCUCACCCUGUCCUGUGACUUGCUGCCUGCGCACAAUGGCCAUCCAGACAGCAUCUUUGUCCAUGCAUCUCACUGAGGGCUCCUGCCUGUGGUGACUGACAGUUACUGCAACAGACAAAACCUAUGGAAACGUCCUGCUUAGAGCCUGCCCACACCCACAGUGCUUUAUCUCCAAAUAAAAACCUUACCAUGAAACCCUA